This 484-nucleotide ribosomal RNA is filed under the name uncultured bacterium. RNAcentral's name for it is "partial 16S ribosomal RNA". It matches the Rfam family "Bacterial small subunit ribosomal RNA", at positions 30 to 507 of the family's 1533-position model. The record is from RNAcentral.
AUUGAACGCUGGCGGCAUGCCUAACACAUGCAAGUCGAGCGGAUGAAGGGAGCUUUCUCCUUGAUUCAGCGGCGGACGGGUGAGUAAUGCCUAGGAAUCUGCCUGGUAGUGGGGGAUAACGUCCGGAAACGGGCGCUAAUACCGCAUACGUCCUGAGGGGGAAAGUGGGGGAUCUUCGGACCUCACGCUAUCAGAUGAGCCUAGGCCGGAUUAGCUAGUUGGUGGGGUAAAGGCCUACCAAGGCGACGAUCCGUAACUGGUCUGAGAGGAUGAUCAGUCACACUGGAACUGAGACACGGUCCAGACUCCUACGGGAGGCAGCAGUGGGGAAUAUUGGACAAUGGGCGAAAGCCUGAUCCAGCCAUGCCGCGUGUGUGAAGAAGGUCUUCGGAUUGUAAAGCACUUUAAGUUGGGAGGAAGGGCAGUAAGUUAAUACCUUGCUGUUUUGACGUUACCAACAGAAUAAGCACCGGCUAACUUCGUG